RNAcentral lists this long non-coding RNA (1060 nucleotides) under Bos indicus x Bos taurus (hybrid cattle). RNAcentral describes it as "lncRNA (ENSBIXG00000005256.1)". The record is from RNAcentral. Lineage: Eukaryota; Metazoa; Chordata; Mammalia; Artiodactyla; Bovidae.
CAAUCUUUCCCUAAGGCAUAUUUGGCAGGGUCUAAUAUUUUAUUACUUAUAAUCUCAAGUCCAUACAGGGUGCUUUUUGAUGUCACCUCUAAUUAUAUUCACAUACUGAAGUACACAUGUUACCAGUUAUAAAGUUGUACUGACCUUUGUCAUUAAAAAAAAAAAAAAAACUAAAAGCUAAAAAAUGUGUUCAAAGGACUUUCACUUUCAAUUGGCAGAAAAUCUAGCCCAAACUCAUUUUAUAAAAGGAGCUGACUCACUCACUAAACUGAAAUACAUAGGAGAGGCCUGGUUUUCUCUCUGUCUCUCUCUUCUCCUUUGCUUCCUCUCUUCUUUCCUGUUUUCUCUCUAUUGCUCUCUCCACUGUUGCAUCUCUUCCAGGUCUCCAUCUGCCCUCAUACUUAUGCAGGUUUCCCAUCACAAGCAGAAGAUGGCUUCAGCAUUCUCAGAUCUCACAUCUUCUAAGAUUCAGUCUAGCAGGAGGGAGAAUUCUCCAGUUUCUUUCCAGCAUUUCUGGAUUUUUCAAGAGAACUUUGGAAUUCCUGGGGGAUGUGUUCUGGUGAUUCUUCCAGAAGAAGAGACAAGUUGGCAGAGAAGGACAGAGGAUGAAUCCUGGUAAGUGAUUCUUACGAAUAAGGGAACAUGCACUUUCUCAUCAGCCUGGAUUCCUUUUUUUUUUUCCUCUAUAUCCUCUCACACAUUUCACAAUCAAGUUCACAGAGAUUGGCUUAGCUUUAUGUAGAGCUUUCAGAAUAAUGGGUAUUUGGUUUUGAAAGAUCCUUAUAGUUCCUCUUCACAGAUAUUUGUAAUGAACAGAAACUUGUUAUUUUCUCAGAAUAUUCUGACAGUAGAUUCUCUAACACUCCCCUCCAGCCCAAAUGCACAAAUAUGCAGUCUCAGAUUUUUUUCCAUCAGAGCAGAGUGGAGUCAGGAAGUUCGUAGUAAUUUGCAGAUAUAUACCAUCAGCUAACACAUCACUGCAAGCAGAAUACCCCUGAUGCAGGAAGGAACAGAUGCUGAUCACUGGGGUGAGGAUGUGGAAAGGGCUUAGUGACUGAAC